GACGAACGCUGGCGGCGUGCUUAACACAUGCAAGUCGAACGGAAAGGCCCUGCUUUUGUGGGGUGCUCGAGUGGCGAACGGGUGAGUAACACGUGAGUAACCUGCCCUUGACUUUGGGAUAACUUCAGGAAACUGGGGCUAAUACCGGAUAGGAGCUCCUGCUGCAUGGUGGGGGUUGGAAAGUUUCGGCGGUUGGGGAUGGACUCGCGGCUUAUCAGCUUGUUGGUGGGGUAGUGGCUUACCAAGGCUUUGACGGGUAGCCGGCCUGAGAGGGUGACCGGCCACAUUGGGACUGAGGUACGGAGCAGAGUGCAACGGGAGGCAGCAGUGGGGAAUAUGGCACAAUGGGCGGGAGCCUGAUGCAGCAACGCCGCGUGCGGGAUGACGGCCUUCGGGUUGUAAACCGCUUUCGCCUGUGACGAAGCGUGAGUGACGGUAAUGGGUAAAGAAGCACCGGCUAACUACGUG
Molecule: ribosomal RNA, 468 nt
Filed under: uncultured bacterium
Lineage: Bacteria
Description: partial 16S ribosomal RNA
Rfam family: Bacterial small subunit ribosomal RNA
Source: RNAcentral